Molecule: ribosomal RNA, 900 nt
Filed under: uncultured bacterium
Lineage: Bacteria
Description: bacterial SSU rRNA
Rfam family: Bacterial small subunit ribosomal RNA
Source: RNAcentral
GGGGUAACGCUUAGCCGGCAGCCUAAUACAUGCAAGUCGAGGGGCAACAUGAACUGCUUGCAGUUUGAUGACGACCGGCGCACGGGUGCGUAACGCGUAUACAACUUACCUUUAUCUGGAGGAUAGCCCGGAGAAAUUCGGAUUAAUACUCCAUAGUAUUAUAAAGUAGCAUUGCUUAAUAAUUAAAGAUUUAUCGGAUAAAGAUAGGUAUGCGUCCCAUUAGCUAGUUGGUGCAGGUAACGGCUCACCAAGGCGACGAUGGGUAGGGGUUCUGAGAGGAAGGUCCCCCACACUGGCACUGAGAUACGGGCCAGACUCCUACAGGAGGCAGCAGUAGGGAAUAUUGGUCAAUGGAGGCAACUCUGAACCAGCCAUGCCGCGUGAACGAUGAAGGCCUUCGGGUUGUAAAGUUCUUUUGUAUGGGAAGAAACUCAUCCUUGCGAGGAUGCUUGACGGUACCAUAAGAAUAAGCACCGGCUAACUCCGUGCCAGCAGCCGCGGUAAUACGGAGGGUGCAAGCGUUGUCCGGAAUUAUUGGGUUUAAAGGGUGCGCAGGCGGUUUCGUCAGUCAGAGGUUAAAGACCGGAGCUUAACUCCGAGUUUGCCUUUGAUACUGCGAGACUUGAAAUACAUAUGGGUAGGCGGAAUUCCUCAUGUAGCGGUGAAAUGCACAGAUAUGAGGAGGAAGACCGAAGGCGAAGGCAGCUUACUGGGUGUUAUUUGACGCUGAGGCACGAAAGCGUGGGGAGCGAACAGGAUUAGAUACCCUGGUAGUCCACGCCGUAAACGAUGAGAACUCGACCUGUGUCGCGUAGCGAUGCGGGUCCAAGUGAAAACGAGAAGUUCUCCACCUGGGGAGUACGCCGGCAACGGUGAAACUCAAAUGAAUUGACGGAAGGG